CGCACGCAGCCCCACUGCAGCGGGGGGAGCGCCCGGAGGUUCCACGCGAGCAGAAAGCGAGCAGCCAGGAGCUCCGUGCCACGACUUCUUUAUUAGAAAGUACAAAGGGAAGCAUCCUGUGUGCCGGGUGGGCAUGGCGCUACGGGUGGGGGGACGAGAGGCGGCAGAGCUCCAGCCUACAGGAGCAGCACCGCCGCACCUCGUGUCGGCACCCGGCUCGCAAACAGCAUGGGGACAAAGCUAGACUACCACUGGGCCUGCACACACACCGAGCACAGAGCCAUUCUGGUUGGAAAAGACCCCGAUCCAACAGUCCAGCCGCCGAUCCAGCACCACAGGUGGGGUGAGGAGCUCUGACCAGCGCUGGUGGCUCCUGGGAGGAGCAGCAUCUGGGCUACAGCACCAGCCCCCAGCCCCCGUGCAUGCCCCUGCCGGCCGCCCCGGCUGCGUCUAACGAGAUGUGUUACAAAAUGAGACUCCAACACAGUAAAAAAGGAACAAAUAAGCAUGGAUCUACGUUAUCGUUUGGAAAUCGUCGUUAGAAAAAUAGUCUAAUUAUAAAAAUAAUCUGAAGGUAAGCACAGAGUAAGCAGUGCAGUUUUCUCACUGCCAGCCUCGCGUUCAGGCUUUUGAGCUGUUUGUUAAAGAGCCUCGUUAAACAAAUAUAUAGUUUUUCAAUAUAUUAUCAACAGUGCGUAUAUAAUUUAAUAUAGAAAUGACAAAUAGGCAACGUAAGACAGUAAAUUACAAGUGGUUAAUAAGUCCUGUAAGCAUCCUUACAGGAGGGCGCAGCGCCGGCCGCUCACAGCUCCAGCCCUGGGCCACGGCUACAGAGAAAGGCAGAAUCAUUGCGAGUCCCCUGGAAGUCUGCUGUUAAUAUGCCAUGUUUGUAUAAAUAUUCUAUUAAAGUUUAUAUAUAUAUGUAUUUAUAUACACACACACAAGGGCUUUUUUAUGAUGUAUAUGUAUCAAAUGACUUCCUCGACGGAAAGGCCCCCCGGCACACCUGCACAACCACGGACUGGGUGCAGUUUGGCAUUUUUUCCCCUUUAAGAAGGGAUGUAGGAAAGAGGCAGAUUCGGAGCGCCUGCACAGAUCACAGAUGAGCCCUCGGGUGGCAGAACCACACCUCUGAGCCACAGAGACACCGACGGUGAGCGUGUCGCCUCUGGUUCUUUGGACAGCUUCUCUCUUAAUACCAGCGGGGUAUUAAAACCAGCAGUCACUACCAUCAUUUCUCAAGGUAGCUGCUGCUCGAUAAUGCACUUCUAAGAGUGAACGUGCACAAACGCACAUCUGCAUGCUGCAGAGGGAGGCCCCGCUCUGUGUACACACGUGAUUACAACAAGUGUGACACCAGCACUGUUUAAUAAUGGGGAUUCCAACUCUUAGCCCGGCUCUGUUCUGCAGCACAGCCGGGCAGCUUUGGUGUGUGUGUGUGUGUGUGUGUGUGUGUGUGUGUGAGGCCACAGCAGGAGCGGAGCAGGAGCCACGGCUCCGCACAGGACCCCGCUCCUCUGGCCAAGGGAGAAGUGAUUGAGUGUGAAACCUCGCUUCCUACCGGAGACUGGGAGCAGAAGAAAAAUGCUUUAGAAAGCCUAAGAGAUCGUUUCUACACGUGAGAAGAGGACAGUGAAUACCAGAAGCAGGGAUGCCCAUCAGCAGCGGAUCCUUCUUGGCGUGUUCUUCGCAGUAGAGCAUUAGGUCUGCUGAUGCCUUUGACACCUGCAGAAGACAGAAGAUACGAUGGCCACUGUUUCCCCAUAACCGGCUCUAGGAGCGGAUGUGACCCUGCGUGGAGGGAGGGAUGCUGGGCCACCAGCACCUCGCAGCCCACACCCUAUUUCCUACAGGAGACAGAGCCCUGUGCCUCGCCCUGGGGCCAGCCCUAUCCGCAGCGGGGAGCUCCUCCAGCUGCUCUGGCACUGGUUUGUGACAUGAGGCAGUAGGAUGGCUCUGCUCGUACAGGGCUUCUGCAGAAGACCAAAAACAAACAGGAAGGGCUCAAAAUCGUGCAGCAGGUUUGCAAUAAGGAACUCAUUGUCUGUAAAGCUGGGGACAAUAAACACAAGUGUCCUCGGAUGACUUAACGCUUUCUAGAAC
Molecule: long non-coding RNA, 2103 nt
Filed under: Gallus gallus (chicken)
Lineage: Eukaryota; Metazoa; Chordata; Aves; Galliformes; Phasianidae
Description: long non-coding RNA NONGGAT009087
Source: RNAcentral